Molecule: ribosomal RNA, 167 nt
Filed under: Maclura cochinchinensis
Lineage: Eukaryota; Viridiplantae; Streptophyta; Magnoliopsida; Rosales; Moraceae
Description: 5.8S ribosomal RNA
Rfam family: 5.8S ribosomal RNA
About the family: 5.8S ribosomal RNA (5.8S rRNA) is a component of the large subunit of the eukaryotic ribosome. It is transcribed by RNA polymerase I as part of the 45S precursor that also contains 18S and 28S rRNA. Functionally, it is thought that 5.8S rRNA may be involved in ribosome translocation.
Source: RNAcentral
CAUAACGACUCUCGGCAACGGAUAUCUCGGCUCUCGCAUCGAUGAAGAACGCAGCGAAAUGCGAUACUUGGUGUGAAUUGCAGAUCCCGUGAACCAUCGAGUCUUUGAACGCAAGUUGCGCCCGAAGCCAUCCGGUCGAGGGCACGUCUGCCUGGGCGUCACACACC